Molecule: ribosomal RNA, 239 nt
Filed under: uncultured Lactobacillus sp.
Lineage: Bacteria; Bacillati; Bacillota; Bacilli; Lactobacillales; Lactobacillaceae
Description: partial 16S ribosomal RNA
Rfam family: Bacterial small subunit ribosomal RNA
Source: RNAcentral
CCGUAGCCCAAGAGAUCGGGAUAACACCUGGAAACAGAUGCUAAUACCGGAUAACAACAGAUGAUGCCUAUCAACUGUUUAAAAGAUGGUUCUGCUAUCACUCUUGGAUGGACCUGCGGUGCAUUAGCUAGUUGGUAGGGUAACGGCCUGCCAAGGCGAUGAUGCAUAGCCGAGUUGAGAGACUGAUCGGCCACAUUGGGACUGAGACACGGCCCAAACUCCUACGGGAGGCAGCAGUU